UACGAACCGUCCUAACGUUAUUCGGAAUCACUGGGCUUAAAGGGUGCGUAGGCGGCCCGAUAAGUUGGGUGUAAAAUCCCUCGGCUCAACCGAGGAAUUGCGCUCAAAACUGUCGGGCUUGAGGAAGAUAGAGGUAAGCGGAACUUAGGGUGGAGCGGUGAAAUGCGUUGAUAUCCUAAGGAACACCGGUGGCGAAAGCGGCUUACUGGGUCUUUACUGACGCUGAGGCACGAAAGCUAGGGUAGCGAACGGG
This 253-nucleotide ribosomal RNA is filed under the name uncultured bacterium. Its description in RNAcentral is "partial 16S ribosomal RNA". It matches the Rfam family "Bacterial small subunit ribosomal RNA", at positions 524 to 776 of the family's 1533-position model. The record is from RNAcentral.